UACGGGGGGGGCAAGCGUUGUUCGGAAUUACUGGGCGUAAAGGGCUCGUAGGUGGCCAACUAAGUCAGACGUGAAAUCCCUCAGCUUAACUGGGGAACUGCGUCUGAUACUGGAUGGCUUGAGUUUGGGAGAGGGAUGCGGAAUUCCAGGUGUAGCGGUGAAAUGCGUAGAGAUCGUAAGGAAGACCAGUGGCGAAGGCGGGUCUCUGGACAGUUCCUGACACUGAUGCACGAAGGCCAGGGGAGCAAACGGG
RNAcentral lists this ribosomal RNA (253 nucleotides) under uncultured bacterium. RNAcentral describes it as "partial 16S ribosomal RNA". It matches the Rfam family "Bacterial small subunit ribosomal RNA", at positions 524 to 776 of the family's 1533-position model. The record is from RNAcentral.